RNAcentral lists this small nuclear RNA (88 nucleotides) under Octodon degus (degu). RNAcentral describes it as "U4 spliceosomal RNA (ENSODEG00000022861.1)". It matches the Rfam family "U4 spliceosomal RNA", at positions 1 to 87 of the family's 138-position model. Rfam says of the family: U4 small nuclear RNA (U4 snRNA) is a component of the major U2-dependent spliceosome. The structure of U4 snRNA from yeast and human has been reported. The record is from RNAcentral. Lineage: Eukaryota; Metazoa; Chordata; Mammalia; Rodentia; Octodontidae.
AGCUUUGCCCACCGGCAGUAUCAUAGCCAAUGAGGUUUAUCCGAGGCAUGAUUACUGCUAACUGAAAACUCAUAUUUAACUUACAGCU